ACAAUCAAGAAGGUCCUUAGUUGUAGUUUGAUGUCUUGCUUGGGUCCCUGCAGUUAAAACAAGAUGCCUCUCCCUAGGUUACUAUGAAACCCAGCAACUCGACCUCCCGUAAGGAGAUCUGGGCUUUCAGAGGAGAAGCUGUGUUUCUAUAUGAUGUCAAUUUUUGAAGAGUUUGGACAGUGUUUGAGCUGAAAAUAGAAUUCUCCUGAGAGCUUUCCAGGGAGACUUCUCAUGGGAGGAGAUGCUUGGGGGUCCCAGUUGUUGCAGUCAUGACGAUUUCAAUAUCCACAAUAUUGUCGCUAUACACUGCGUUGACAAAGCCUUGGUGAUAUCCUCGGUCCCAGCUGCUGCUGACUGAAAGACCUGGAAAGGCCCAUCUACUGGGGCUUGGAACUGAAGAAAUUGAUGGCCAAAAAAUCAUGCAAGGAUGAGGAUGUAGACAAAGAAGACCCAAUAUCGAAGCAAGGGCGGGCUUCCUCCUGCCAUGAUGGCUUGUCCCAGUUCCAGAAGCACAGACACCUGACCAGCAACUGAAACCUUUGAGACAACCGGGAGCCACACAAUGGAAAGCUCGGCUUCUAAAUCAGAGCUCCG
This 594-nucleotide long non-coding RNA is filed under the name Mus caroli (Ryukyu mouse). RNAcentral describes it as "lncRNA (MGP_CAROLIEiJ_G0006760.1)". The record is from RNAcentral. Lineage: Eukaryota; Metazoa; Chordata; Mammalia; Rodentia; Muridae.